RNAcentral lists this transfer RNA (68 nucleotides) under Neogymnocrinus richeri. RNAcentral describes it as "tRNA-Ser". The record is from RNAcentral. Lineage: Eukaryota; Metazoa; Echinodermata; Crinoidea; Cyrtocrinida; Sclerocrinidae.
GAGGCUUAUGGGUUUAUCAAAGGCCUGCUAAGCUUGUUGAUUUGCGGUUCAAUUCCGUUGAAGCUUCG